This is a long non-coding RNA of Prinia subflava (tawny-flanked prinia), 1089 nucleotides long. RefSeq lists it as uncharacterized. The record is from RefSeq and is a predicted model, not a curated record. NCBI's taxonomy places the organism in Eukaryota, Metazoa, Chordata, Aves, Passeriformes, Cisticolidae. The transcript has 3 exons.
GGGUGCUGCACAGCUUCAAGCACACUGGGAAGCUGGGCUCACCUCUUUGCUUCAUUCUGCCAGUGCCGAGGACUUCAUUGAGGCUCUUGCAAAAUACCUCGGACCUUCCGAGAGGACAGGCAUCAUCCUCUCAACCAUGACAGAGUUCCACCACUCAUCGACCUGCCAUCAGCAGGUGUCUCUCAGCAUGUUGGAGGUGAUUGCAAGAGACCCUGACCAGUGGCUGAUGGAUGUGCCAAACAUCGUGAACCACAUCUACCACACCGGGUUGGUGGUGGACACCCAAACCCAGCACAGCCUCCACACCCUGCUUCUCCUGGUGGCUGACAGGAGCCCUGGGCAGGUGGUCACAACGCUGCUGCAGAUCGCUCCGCCAGGAGAGAGGUACUGGCCCCAACAGCCCCUGUGGGGACAGGGACCCUGAGACCCUCUGGCUGCCAAACACAAGGAACACUGCAGGACCCCACCGAGGAGUGGGGCCCUCCAUCCCACCACGCUUUCCAGCCCUGGUGGGGGUCAUCCAGACCUGCAACAGCCAGAGUCAUCCCAGAGCUCUCGGGUUGGUUUUCCCAAGGUAUGUUGGUUAAGAGUCUUUUUUCCUUGAAAGCCUGUGCCAGAAGCAGAAGAAAAUGCCUGAGUUUGCCAUCUCAGGUUUCUCAGAGUUGUUUAUUAUUUCUUAUCUCUCAGUUCUUUCGGUGUCCAGCAAAGGUCCUUGCUGCAGCAAGAGCACAAGGUGACUCCCCCCAGGUUGGGAGGGCUUGGACCUUUUGUACCUUUUCUCUGACCCAACCACCAUGCACUGCGUAUUUUUUAUUUACAAUUAAUUACCAGUACCUACUACCUAUGUCAGACAUGUCACUUCUAUCCUAAACCAAUCCCCUGUGACCCACUACAGCAGAACAUGGAGGACAAGAACAAGAAGGAAGAAGGACAGGGCCACAUCCUGAUUCCUCCAUCUUGCAUUCCCUGACUCCAUUCUAAAAUCCCCAAAUUCUACAUUUUCACCCUGUGACAAACUCAACCACUACUCAUUUCACACUCUUAUGGUCUGCAAUUCUUCAUGCAAUGUUGGUCAUCUUUCCCAUGGGC